RNAcentral lists this long non-coding RNA (503 nucleotides) under Homo sapiens (human). RNAcentral describes it as "HSALNT0311316". Lineage: Eukaryota; Metazoa; Chordata; Mammalia; Primates; Hominidae. The record is from RNAcentral.
UACCUGGUUAACACAACCAAAAUUCCUGGCAGCUCUACACAUCAAAUGCAUUUGUAGAGAAGAGCAUAUAGAGGGAAUUGUGAGUAAGCCAGAUUAAUGCACCAGAAAAAGUAGAAACUGCACCAGAAAAAGUAGAAACUGCACCAGAAAAAGUAGAAACUGUACCAAGAACAGGAAGGACGGAUUGGCACCAGUGAAUUCAAACAAUAACCAGGUCUCAAGCAGUAGCCACCUCCAGUCUGAUACAAAGGAUUACUCCCUCCCCAGUGCCAGCUGGAGCCCCAUCAUGGUGAGGCUCUACAAUGAGUUCAUGGAGAAGACUGUGGAUGGGUCAUGGACAAGACUUCCAGGUUGUUGGUGCUCUGUGCAAUUCCUUAAAGAAGCAGACCUUACUAAGAUUGCUAAAGCUGUCCCUGCCAUCUUCUUACAAAUGAAGUGACGCAGAUGCAAGGUGCUGCAAGGCCCACCUCCUCCUGCUCUGACAGGCAGACAGGAAACCAAAG